UGAACCUGCGGUAGGAUCAUU
Molecule: ribosomal RNA, 21 nt
Filed under: Thuja plicata (western redcedar)
Lineage: Eukaryota; Viridiplantae; Streptophyta; Pinopsida; Cupressales; Cupressaceae
Also listed under: 20 other names
Description: partial 18S ribosomal RNA
Source: RNAcentral